GGGGGUAUAGCUUGGUGGUAGAGCAUGUUCUUAGCAUGUGUGAGGUCCUGGGUUUGAUCCCCAGUACUGCCA
This 72-nucleotide transfer RNA is filed under the name Camelus bactrianus (Bactrian camel). It matches the Rfam family "tRNA". From Rfam's summary of the family: Transfer RNA (tRNA) molecules are approximately 80 nucleotides in length. Their secondary structure includes four short double-helical elements and three loops (D, anti-codon, and T loops). The record is from Rfam by way of RNAcentral. Lineage: Eukaryota; Metazoa; Chordata; Mammalia; Artiodactyla; Camelidae. RNAcentral also lists the same sequence under 3 other names.